CUUCGGGUGAGCGGCGGACGGGUGAGUAACGCGUGGGAAUAUGCCCUUCUCUACGGAAUAGCCUCGGGAAACUGAGAGUAAUACCGUAUACGCCCUUCGGGGGAAAGAUUUAUCGGGGAUGGAUUAGCCCGCGUUGGAUUAGGUAGUUGGUGGGGUAAUGGCCUACCAAGCCUACGAUCCAUAGCUGGUUUUAGAGGAUGAUCAGCCACACUGGGACUGAGACACGGCCCAGACUCCUACGGGAGGCAGCAGUGGGGAAUCUUAGACAAUGGGCGCAAGCCUGAUCUAGCCAUGCCGCGUGAGUGAAGAAGGCCUUAGGGUCGUAAAACUCUUUCGCUGGGGAAGAUAAUGACGGUACCCAGUAAAGAAGCCCCGGCUAACUCCGUGCCAGCAGCCGCGG
RNAcentral lists this ribosomal RNA (400 nucleotides) under uncultured Alphaproteobacteria bacterium. RNAcentral describes it as "bacterial SSU rRNA". It matches the Rfam family "Bacterial small subunit ribosomal RNA", at positions 85 to 520 of the family's 1533-position model. Lineage: Bacteria; Pseudomonadati; Pseudomonadota; Alphaproteobacteria. The record is from RNAcentral.